CCCCCACCGUUACACCUUAACACCGCCCCCCCCCUCCCGCCGCUGAAUGCUCUCGCGCCGCUUUCCCGCCGCCACCUGCUCUCAUUUCUUUAACUCGUGUCAUUCCCGCCGCAGCCCCGUCAGUCUGCUGUUUAUUACGUGUGCCAAGCAUUUUGCUCCUCUUGUGUUUCAGGGAGCGGGAACCUUGACAGGAGACAUGGAAGUUCACUUACGCAGACAGGAGCAGCCCGGAGGCGCAAACAGAAACCAUCGGCUUCAUGAUGUGCCCCCCCCACCUCCGUCUCCCGGGCCCCGUCUCUACCUCCGGGGCCCCGUGACGACUGGCGUGGUUCAUCACGGCGCCCGCGCGCGGUGGCGGCCAUCCCCGUGCUGCCGGCGGCCAUGUUUGAUGAAUGCUGAUGCGCCACCUGAGGUUGGCACUGAGCUGAGGGGGAGACGAACGCAGACGGGGGAGAAGGAGCAAUAGGAGCCGACAUGAUGAGAGUGUGGAGCAGCUUCGUGAACGAGCCGCCCGGUGACAUCAUUCUCCUGUUUACAGCACCGAAUCCGCUGGACGGCGAUUGUCUAAAACAUGCUGCGCUUCCAGAUGAACAUCAAGGGACUGUGUUAUGCUGCAACUGUGAUUUCAUUGGACAUUUAAAAAUAUUUUUCCCCUGCUUUGAAAACUAGACAUCAUUAAAAUCCAUUAGAAGCAACAUAACUGCCGUUCUUUCAGAAGCAACAACCACCUUCCACAGUCGAUGAGGUUGGUAAUUUGGGGCUCACAUAGUAUUAAAAUACAGCAAUUUAAAUGUGUUUAUGGUAACAUAUCUUUUAUUUACUUGGAGGCAAAGCAGUAGAAAUUCUUUUUCCUCCGCCCGCCUUCCACUGCACGGCAGAACAGCAAAAAGGGUUUCGCGGCUGUCAGGAGGAGUGUGUCUCUAAGAUCACAUUUCAGGUUAAUGACUGUUCACGGCUCGCCAGCCAGUCGCGUGGUGAGGGAGCACUUUUGACGCACUAAAGGGGAGCAAACAGGUGCACAAAGAGGCGGGAUGGGGCAAAGGAAGCGAGGUGAAACCGGCGGCAUCGAAGUCGAAGUCGGGCAGGCAAACAAGGAACUGUCGGGCGGAUUAAUUGGGCUCCAACGCACCUUCUCAGGCAAAAGUUAGGGUUGGCUAUACAUGUGGGUGGCUGUGCGCAUGUGUGAACAGGUGUGACGCCGACGCUCCGAGGACUAUUCAUCCCAACUCCGGCGUGUCUGAGAAUGUGCGGGUGUGUGUCGGCGUUCCCUCGUAAUGUAUGUCAGGCUCGCCGCGAGCAGUCGGUUUCAGGUUGGUCUCAUUACUGAGGUAAUUCCUCCGGAGCAACAGCUCCAUAAUGGCAGGAGAUAGUAAUGAUCCUUUAAUAGCCCUCCUCAUUGCCCACUGGCCAGAUCCUAAAACCUGAUUUGCCUACUGUGCUCCCACUGAUCCAGGAAGAUGAAUAGAAAACUAACCAUCAUUAUAUCUGCCAGGGAAAUCAAAUCAGAACACCCAUAAUCUACUUCUCAGCACCCACCUCUUUGUCUCAUUUUCAAACUGCUCAGUCUAUGCAUCAUCGCUAGUUUUCCCUUUUCUCUCCCUCCGCUCAUGUUUUGUAUUUCCUCCUUCGUCCCGUCCUCAUCCUUCUCAUUCUUUCGCUUGGCUUUUGUCUCGGUCUCAAUUUCUAUACUUCAAAAGGCAUCGGUAGAUUGGCUUCUAUUUUAUUGGCAUUCGGGGGUAAUGAGGAAUGAGCGCAGCAACCAAAGCAAGCGGCUAGACGGGGAACUGGGCUAAGUAGCCUAGCGCGCGGCCGCUCAUUUGCGAGCAUGCUCUGCAGCAGGGGGGGACUCGCGUCUCAGUCCCAGUAGGUCCAGUUCAGCGCGCUGCAUUGAUAAGGAUUUUGUUAUCAUCCUUCAAAAGUUUCUAAGGAAACAAUGGCGAAUGUUGGACUCGAUUGUGUUGUGGGUCCGCGUGCAUGUGCGGACACAUGCAUGUGCAUGUCCAGCACUCCCUGUUAUCUGCAGUGAGAAAAUCGAGAGAGGCCGAAAAACUCCACACUAAUCUCCUCCACAUAUGGUUGGGUUUCUCACAUAUCCUUGAUAAGAUUUAUAGGGAUUAGUUUGUCCCCCAAAAUAGUCAGAGUGUGGAAAAAUGGCUGUCUGGAGGGUCCUUUAAUCUCUGAGCCAUCGGCUCUGCUGACACAACAGGCCGACACUGAGGAACUGAGACCAUUUCUUUGUUUGGUUCAGAAAAAAAAGAGUGUGCAGGAGUCAUGUCUGCUACUUUAACAAGCAGGGGAUAAAUAGGACAGAGAAUGGAUUUACAUGCGUGGGUGCACGUGUCACUGAACAGCCACUGUACAGUCGGUGGCUGUUGUCCCUCAGGUCUGCAGUGACUCACAUGAUCCAUUGCUGAACAAUCUAUUGCCUCUGUCUGUCUCCUCGUCGUCGAUGUGUUCGUCUAAAUAAUUCAGCUCAAACCCGGGCUAGUCUUUAAUCACAUGUCACUACUUCUCCUCACUGAUGGCUCCUCAACACAUUAUUAUAACUACGUGGGGAAAAUUACACUGUGCAUCUUCUUUCAUCUCAAACUAUGAUAAGUUACUGUAUAGACUUCAUCCACAUGUUUUUACCACUGACAUGUCUUGGAAUCAGAGCUAACAUGAAUGAAGAGACGCCAAUGAGAUGUUCCUGCCUUGGUUCCAGUGCACGUCUAUUUUGGUAAUAUGGUGCAUAAUAAGAUUAUUACACUAAUGAUAUAAUGUCACAAAUUGCGCCACGGGAAGCAAGAAGGAAGCUGUGAUGGAAUUCAAGUCCUCUCAAUAGGAGACACGGUGCAUAUGGGCUACGCAGACGGGUCAAGUGAAUUGAUUUGUCAGGGCCAGCGUCUCCUGGAAACAGAUUUGUUGGAGGGUGUCAGCGUGCGGUCUGGUGCAUGCAUGUUUGUGUGCGUGCCUGUUUGUGUGCGUGCAUGUUUGCGUGCGUGCAUGUUUGCGUGCGUGCGCCUCCUUGGAAAGCUCGGUGGUCUGCAGUUUCCCCACAGUUGCUUGGCAGCUUCGCUCUACUUUUAAUUAGAGAAAAAGCAUCUGCAACAAGGGGCACAGCUGAAGGAG
Molecule: long non-coding RNA, 3111 nt
Organism: Betta splendens (Siamese fighting fish)
Lineage: Eukaryota; Metazoa; Chordata; Actinopteri; Anabantiformes; Osphronemidae
Exons: 5
Source: RefSeq, a predicted model, not a curated record